RNAcentral lists this ribosomal RNA (371 nucleotides) under uncultured bacterium. RNAcentral describes it as "bacterial SSU rRNA". It matches the Rfam family "Bacterial small subunit ribosomal RNA", at positions 527 to 896 of the family's 1533-position model. The record is from RNAcentral.
GGGGGGAGCAAGCGUUGUUCGGAAUUACUGGGCGUAAAGGGUGUCUAGGCGGCCUUGUAAGUCGGGGGUGAAAUCCCCCGGCUUAACCUGGGAACUGCGUCUGAUACUGGGAGGCUUGAGUUUGGGAGAGGGAUGUAGAAUUCCUAGUGUAGGAGUGAAAUCCGUAGAUAUUAGGAGGAACACCGGUGGCGAAGGCGGCUGCCUGGACCGAUAUUGACGCUGAGACGCGAAGGCGUGGGUAGCAAACAGGAUCAGAUACCCUGGUAGUCCACGCCGUAAACGAUGAGGACUAGGUGUUGCGGGUAUUGACCCCUGCAGUGCCGUAGCUAACGCAUUAAGUUCUCCGCCUGGGAAGUACGGUCGCAAGACUA